This 2441-nucleotide long non-coding RNA is filed under the name Homo sapiens (human). RNAcentral describes it as "FAM181A antisense RNA 1 (FAM181A-AS1)". The record is from RNAcentral. Lineage: Eukaryota; Metazoa; Chordata; Mammalia; Primates; Hominidae.
GUGCCAACGCCGGCGGGGCUGCAAGCAGGGCCACUCUGAGCAAGCAAGGGAGCCCAGAGCCGCUGUUGGCCCUGCCCACCAACUGGCCAGAGGGAAGGUGAGCUCCAGAAGGGAAGGGAGUUCUUUCACAGCUUUCUGUCUCUGUAUCUCCUGUGACUUGAAUGGACUCAGCACACAGCAGGCCUGAGUGAAGGAUGCUUGUGGUUGCUAUGGCUUACAUGACAACGAAUUGUCUGUAAUCCUACAGGACUAUGGCACAUGAAAGCUGGAAGCGCUUCUUUCCGACUGCAUCGCCCAGCACCAGAGCCCGAGUUCUGUAAAGCUCUGUUAAAGGCACAUGAGCUGUGCUGGCUUCAACUGCCCUGAACUUGGAUAAGCUGGGCCGCUGAUGGACCCUUCCCAACCGGUUGUUGCUGCCUUGGUUUCCCGACAGUCCACUGUGCUGACCCUGCAGCAGGGACUCCCAGCUUUGCAUCAACUCCAUUCAACACCUACUGUGUGCAGGGACCAGAGGGUGUGGAGGUGGCAUUCCCUGCUUUAUCUUGAUAAGUAAACGUUUGUCUCCUGCCCACUCAUCAGUGAAGCAGAACAACUACCUAGCAGUCUCCUGGGAGCCACCCCUCCAGAACCUCUGGAUGUCAACAGACACCAUCUACUUAUAGGAUUCAGCCAGCACAUGUGUAGACUGGAGCUGCAAGAUGGUCAUCAAAUGAAAGGAGUCCCUGGAGAAACUAUUACCUGGUCCCCACAGGAGUUAACCUGACUGCCCAAGUUCACCAGUCAGCAGCCUAGCGUGUCACCUUAAAAUUCAGUCCCAAAAGAUGGGCUGACUUCUCAUUUUAGAGAUGAAGACAGAGAGGCCCAGAGAGGGGAAGAGAUUCAUCCAAGGCAAAGCCAGGCAGAGCCAGGGGUGAGAGGCAGCAGUGAUGGCUACAGCCAUACCUUGAGUCAAGGCACUGAGACGGAGAGUGUUAGGCAUUUUGGAGAGCGGAGACAGUGAGAAGCUCAGUGCAGCGGCGAAGAGAGUUCGCUGCAGGGAGUGAGGAAAGGGGCAUUUGCAUCAUCAGCAAAAGGGCCAUUUUCACCUGCCUCAGCAUUCCAUUCCCGUGCUCCCUGACUUGGUCCUGGUGGGGCGUGCUGGGACUAUGAAGAGUUACUGCUGUGAGCGCUGCGGCCCCCCAUACCUCCACCCUAGCACCAAGGCCCUGAACAGAAUGGAUGGUGUCCACCUGCAUUGGGAAGGGCUAUCUGUCUUACAACCCAUGAGUAGAUACUAUUAGCAGCCCAUCUUAAGAUGAGGAAGCUAAGGGUCCUUCCUGAGGCAAAUCCUCAGCCGCUGUUGCACGGGCUCUAGGGGAAGCCAGCUGCCAUGUUGUGGGGAUGCUCAAGGAGCCCUGAGGAGAGGCCCAUGUGAUGAGGAGCUGAGAGGACUUGGGCCAAAAGCCAGUGGAGAAUUGAGGUCUCCUGUCAGUAGCCAUAUAAGCAAGUAUUCUGGAAGCACAUCCUCCAUUCCCAGUCAAUAUCUUAACUUCAACCUCAUGAAAGACCUUGAGCCUAGCUCAGCCACUCCCAGACUCCUGACCCACAGAUACUGUGUGAGACACCUUGAAUCACAGAUAGUUGGAGAUGAAAAGGACCUUAGAAACCAUGAGAAACACCAUGGGCGAGGAGACUGGGGAGCUCUGGAGCCAUAAACCUGGCUUCAGGUCCCAGUUCUGCCACUCACCAACUGAGUGGCCAAGGACGGCAUUUUUCAGAGAACAGGAGGGAGCUGCUUCCUUAAGUAUCGCCUGGGAUCACAUUCAGACUGGAGAUGUUGCCAGAAGCAAAUCCACCUCGGUGGGGAUUCUGGUUGACCCAGGAGACCCUCUGCUCCUGAGGGAACUGCUGAGGGGCUUGGGCUAUGACUCCAGGACCAAGAGUUUUGGGAGAGACUUUCCUUCCCUGGACAAGGAAAAGGAAGUGGAGCUACCAGCUGCUGCUCUGGGAGGCUAGAGGCUCAUCUCUCUACCAUGCACCCUUUCCGAAGCUCUGUUCUCUGAGGGCUUCUGGAAAUACCCGCUUUAAUCAGAGUUAAGCCGGAUUUGAAGGUUGCGAUGAUUAGAUGUGUCAAAAAAAUUUUACAUCUAAUAACACCCAACGCUGUCAAGAAUGUGGAAAAAAACAGACAUGUAUGCAUUGUUGAUGCGAGUGUCAAUUGGUACCCAUUUUUUGGAGGGAGUUUGCUAGUAUCAUUAGAAUGUGAAAUAGAUAUGCUUUCAGACUCAACAUUUCCACUUCUAAGAGUCAAUUCUAGAGAAAUAUGUGCACAUGGACACAAAGAGUCGGGCAUGAAGAUGUUUGCAGAAAUGUUGUUUGCAACUGCAAAAAACAGUAAAAUAAAAAGCCACCAAAUCAAAAAAAAAAAAAAAAAAAAAAAAAAAAAAAAAAAAAAAAAAAAA